This 442-nucleotide ribosomal RNA is filed under the name uncultured bacterium. RNAcentral describes it as "partial 16S ribosomal RNA". It matches the Rfam family "Bacterial small subunit ribosomal RNA", at positions 338 to 795 of the family's 1533-position model. The record is from RNAcentral.
CCUACGGGAGGCAGCAGUGGGGGAUAUUGCACAAUGGGGGAAACCCUGAUGCAGCGACGCCGCGUGGGCGAAGAAGUAUUUCGGUAUGUAAAGCCCUAUCAGCAGGGAAGAAGAAAUGACGGUACCUGAGUAAGAAGCACCGGCUAAAUACGUGCCAGCAGCCGCGGUAAUACGUAGGGUGCAAGCGUUAUCCGGAUUUACUGGGUGUAAGGGGAGCGCUGGCGGUACGGCAAGCCUGUUGUGAAAGCCCGCGGCGCAACCGCGAGACUGCAAUGGGAACUACCGGGCUGGAGUGCCGGUGAGGUAGGCGGAAUUCGUGGUGUAGCGGUGAAAUGCGUAGAUAUUAGGAGGAACAACGGUGGCGAAGGCGGCCUACUAGACGGUGACUGACACUGAGGCUCGAAAGCGUGGGGAGCAAACAGGAUUAGAUACCCGAGUAGUC